GGCGCCGGGGGCGGCGGGGGGCCUUUUCCCGGCGUUUCCUCGCUGGCCCGGGGAGCCCGCCGCGGGGUUGCCAGAGGCCCGUGGAUUUCCCCACGCGAACCUCGUGAUCGUCUCGGUUGUCUCAGCACAGCGCUUUCCUACUGCGGGAUGAUGAGGCGACAGUUACAUCUAAUAUUGGUAGCUGGCCACACAGCUUAGAUCUAGAUGGGAACCAUCCCUGGACCCUAGGACAUGACUACCGGACCUCUGAGCUGCAUGGAGAAUUUUGUCUCAUCUCCAGUCUUGCUUGGUUUGGUAUCUAGUGGUGAGUACACCCCUGAUCCAGUGCUCCGGACCGACAGUCUGUUGAAGCAUGGUUUUCACGUGUGGUUACCAUAGGUACUUGCAUGAAAUCCUGCAUAUGUAGCAACCCAAGAGUUUCUGCUGAAAAACAGCUGAUAGUCUUAUGGGAUUUCCCUGGAAGGAUCAGAUUCCUGCUGUAUGCAUGACUUCCCUAGUGUCCAGCUCCUGCAGCUAAGAUGGCUUCCUGAGCAUUACUUCCUGGAGUGCACGGCUGUCAGCAGCAUCCAGUGGUCAACAGCUUCCAACAGAACCUCCCCUUAGGAGGUUUCACACAUAAUGCCACCAAUGAGGGAGCUACUUGUGAACCCCCUGGCAAGUCCACUAGCACAGCACACAGAGACUAUUCUGCCAUCCAGUGAACUGCCAUGCAUCCACUGCCACGCAUGCUCUAGCAAGAGCUGGAUUGCGAUGCAAUUAUAGUUUGUAAGAAUUCAUAUUCAAUAUUCCCUGUUCAAAUUCUUAUGUUAUGUCUACCUUCUAAUUGAACCCUCAGUCACAAAGAACUAGGAGUGAUUCCAAGAGAUGGAACCAUAAAGAUGAGACUGA
Molecule: long non-coding RNA, 888 nt
Organism: Manis pentadactyla (Chinese pangolin)
Lineage: Eukaryota; Metazoa; Chordata; Mammalia; Pholidota; Manidae
Exons: 5
Source: RefSeq, a predicted model, not a curated record